GAUGAAGAACGCAGCGAAAUGCGAUAAGUAAUGUGAAUUGUAGAAUUCAGUGAAUCAUCGAAUCUUUGAACGCACAUUGCGCCCUCUGGUAUUCCGGGGGGCAUGCCUGUUCGAGCGUCAUUAUAACCACUCAAGCUUUCGCUUGGUAUUGGGGCUCGCGGUUCCGCGGCCCCUAAAAUCAGUGGCGGUGCCUGUCGGCUCUACGCGUAGUAAUACUCCUCGCGAUUGAGUCCGGUAGGUCUACUUGCCAGCAACCCCCAAUUUUUACAGGUUGACCUCGGAUCAGGUAGGGAUACCCGCUGAACUUAAGCAUAUCAAUAAGCGGAGGA
This 329-nucleotide unclassified non-coding RNA is filed under the name soil metagenome. Its description in RNAcentral is "partial contains 5.8S ribosomal RNA, internal transcribed spacer 2, and large subunit ribosomal RNA". The stretch from base 1 to 120 matches the Rfam family "5.8S ribosomal RNA", at positions 35 to 154 of the family's 154-position model. The record is from RNAcentral.